This 253-nucleotide ribosomal RNA is filed under the name uncultured bacterium. RNAcentral's name for it is "partial 16S ribosomal RNA". It matches the Rfam family "Bacterial small subunit ribosomal RNA", at positions 524 to 776 of the family's 1533-position model. The record is from RNAcentral.
CACGUAGGGGACGAGCGUUGUCCGGAUUCAUUGGGCGUAAAGCGCGCGUAGGCGGCUCGGAAAGUCGGUCGUGAAAUGCCGGGGCUCAACCCCGGGACUGCGUCCGAUACUCCCGAGCUGGAGGCAGGUAGGGGAGAUCGGAAUUCCUGGUGUAGCGGUGAAAUGCGCAGAUAUCAGGAGGAACACCGGUGGCGAAGGCGGCCCCCUGGUUGGAUACUGACGCUGAGACGCGAAAGCGUGGGGAGCAAACAGG